This 308-nucleotide unclassified non-coding RNA is filed under the name uncultured fungus. RNAcentral describes it as "sequence contains ITS1". The stretch from base 1 to 104 matches the Rfam family "5.8S ribosomal RNA", at positions 50 to 154 of the family's 154-position model. Lineage: Eukaryota; Fungi. The record is from RNAcentral.
GAAAUGCGAUACGCAAUGCGAAUUGCAGAAUUCCUUGAAUCAUCAGAUUUUCGAACGCAACCCGCACUAACACUUCGGUGAUUAGUAUGUUUGUUUCAGUAUCUGGAAUAUCAAAAAUCUCAAUAUGAUUGACAAAACUAACUUCGGUUAACAGCGUCUUUCAUCAAAUUAGAAUAAGCUUUUAUUUCUGACCAAUGAAGCAGUCACAUUCACAUGUGAUUUCAUUGAGAAAGACUUAAUGAGUUUAUAGACAAUAAACUUUCUACCUUUUGUAUCUGAAAUCAAGCAAGAUAACCCGCUGAACUUAA